Molecule: non-coding RNA, 3271 nt
Organism: Nothobranchius furzeri (turquoise killifish)
Lineage: Eukaryota; Metazoa; Chordata; Actinopteri; Cyprinodontiformes; Nothobranchiidae
Source: RefSeq, a predicted model, not a curated record
GCAGCCAAGUUAGCUCUGAAAUUGUCCAGAAAAUGUCGUUGUCUGAAGGCUUCCUGCAGCCGUUCCUUCACCGCGUUGUAGUCUGCUUGCACUGCCGCAGGUAAACUGUCCCACAGCAGGAACGCGGCUUUGGACAGUCUGGUGGGCAGUAUUCGAGCCAGUUCAUAGUCAUAUGCACUCUCGGCACCCGCUACUAGUGCUCUCACUGCCACUUCAUAUUGACGAGACCAGCAAGAGAAACUUUCCCCAUCCUCUCCGGAGAACACCGGCGGAAGCUCAAUGUUCACGCUGCUAGUGCGUGGUUUGUCUGGGCGGGAGAACCUGUACUCCAGCGGGUCUUCAUCACGUCCCCACAUAAUUCCUGGAGAUUCAACCGCUUCCAACCGGUAAACGUAUUGUUGUACGUCCUAUAUAUACUGGUACAGCUAAGCUAACCGCAAGUUAGCAGAGGCUAACUUCAACAAGCUAACGGACUCAGUUACCGUCACUGGAAAAUAGCUGGACUUCGGCACUGAAACGAUCCCACCGCUGCCACCAAUGUAACCGAGCCUUCCAGAAAGAGACGGGAGAAGAUAGAGGAUUGUGGUUGCUCAAGAAAAGGUUGAUAACUGUGAACUCUCAGGGUCGCUUUAUUUUAACAUAACACCAUUAACAACUCCGCUCCAACUUCUGUUGUUUUUUUUCUCUUUUUCAAACAUCACAUCCUGUCAGCAGCACCUUCAAAAUAAAAGUCCCAUAAAAGUGGGUUACAGAAUUAUGAGUAGAAGCGUUCUUCAUGGUCAAGUAAAAUGUUUUAUGUUAAAUUCAGUCCAGACGUUACGUGAAGUCUGGUCCAUUCUUCAUCUAGUUUAACAUCAAGCUAAACUCAAGUGAACAUUUGUUUAGUUAGCGUGUCUAGGUACCAUUUUUUUUAGGCCACGGUUGUCAAACUCAAGCCCUUGGUCUAUUUUUAUUUGCCCCCCGAAAUCAAAUAUCAAAUAUAUAAUAUUAAACUGGCCCGCCGGGCGAUUUUGCUGAUAAGACUACUAAUCCCAUAGUGCUGUGCGGCGUUAGCGCGCGAGACGAAGCAAGCCCUUUUUUAUGUUUACGAUCAUUAGCAUCCAUGCUAGUAGAAUCAGUGUGUGCAGCGUUACCCUCAGUCUUAAACAACUGAAGAUACUCCUCUAAGCACCCAGUUUACUCAGCGAGUUUCCGACUUUGAACGCCUAGAAAGAAGGUAUCUGGCUGGAACAGGUGACCAUCAGAGUGGAGCGAACUGAGCUUGAAACAUUUAAUUGUCAUGCACUUUUUCUGCUCCAAAGCAUGAACGUUAAUAACUGAGAUAUUUUCAUAGAAGAUAAUUGCUAUUUUUGGUUUUCACAGAUCUUAACUUAUUUAAUUAUCUAACAUGUUAUUGUAUGGCUGUUGUACCUUUCAUUUGGUAAUUGAUUGUUUUGGCCCCUAUAAAAAUGUGUCAUAUGAGAGUGUUUGUGCUUGAAUUACAUAGAUCAUGUACCUGAAGGUAGCUGACAACAACCGGGCAGACACCCACCUUGCCUUCUUCAUUGAAGCUGUGAAUGAGCAUGGCUUUCCUCUGAGGUAUUCAUGUUAUUCCCAACUUUACCCUCUGUUACCCUGUUACAAAUCUGCUUUUGCCUAAAGUGUGUUAUUGACCAAAGAUAACAUGCCAUUUGAGGUCAUAUAGUAAAAUCUAUUGGGGGGGGGUGAACAUUUUCCUCUUUCAAAAAAAAUUUCCCCAGCAGAGGGUUAAUAAUGCCACAUUGUUUACUCACUUAGUAGCAAGGUACAUAAGGAAAUUUCUGUGAGACUGAAAUUGAUGUAGAUUGUUAUAGAUGUGCAUUAAAAAUGUUUGAAGCAAGAUUCUAAUGUUUUUUUUUUCAUGGUGAGAGGAGAUCAUGGCGGAGAAAAUGUAGGUGUUGCAGAAUUAAUGUUCUCAGUUCGUGGAACUGACACCAACAGCUUCAUUGCAGGAAAAAGUGUACACAAUCAACGGUGAGUUUAACCUAAUUUGGAAGCUUUGUGUCUGUGCGCGCAUGCCUGUGCCUGUUGACCUGCCCAGGGUGCACCCUUCGUCUCACACUGUGACUGCUGAAGAUAGGCACCAGUCCCCCUGCGACCAUUCAAAAGAUAACUCAAGUUGAAAACGGAUGUAUGGACAUGUAAAUGUGUGUGUAUGUUAUAAUUUUCUUUUAUUUAAUCCCCCUCCAAAUCCAGGAUCGAGUGCCUCUGGCGUGAUGUCUUCAUGAGUGUUACUGGUUUAUAUUACAACAUCCUGCACUCUCUGGAAGACCAAGACUUGCUCGACAUCAGUAACAUCCUUCACCUGUUUUGUUGCCACUAUAUUGUCUCGCAUCCAGGCCAGCCUGGAUGUCUUUAGAGAUGUGUGGGACAACCAUCCAAUCAGGACAGAGGAAAACAUGACACCAAAUCAGCUGUGGCAUCUGGGCCAGGCUCUGAAUCCUGUUUCUGAUCCAGGGGCAAAUGGUAUACCGGUACCAGAGAUUGAAUGGGAGGAGAACGGAUACAUGACUGAACCUCAUCCUGGGAUCAGUGUCCCUGUACUGGACAGUCCUCUUUCAGAUCAUGAAAUGUUGGAACUGCAGGACAACAUAAUCCGUUGCAACAUUCAGACUCUUGGGAGUGGACAUAUAUCUUCACACUGUCCAGUAUGUUGAGAACUUACUUGAGGCUAGAUGAUUACAUGUGUGAAGAAGGAAGAAGAGAGAAGGUAGGGAGUUAGGAAGAAAGAAAACAAAGAGACAGGAAGGAAGAAAGUUAAAAAGUGAAGGAGUGGUCCAUUUUAAGGUUAAUGUACUGUAUAUUGUUAUUCAAGGGAUUAACCUUUGUAAAUAUGAAAUGCUAAAGAAUAGACCCCAAAAUAGAUUUCUAAAUUCAUUUAUAGUUGUGUAUUCCCUUAAAGGCUUUAUCAGCCUGAUUUAUUUUAGACCAGGAAUGUAUUUGAAAAGGCUGCUGUCCACUUCAUCUAUGCUACAAUUCUUCAAAAUGUAGAUGUUCUAUCAUUGCUAGUGUUGGUUUAGUAACAUGCAUCUUCCUGUGUAUCCAGCUCUAAUAAAAACAUUUAAAGGCGAAGCACCUACUUAUCAGGAGAUCCAUUUAUUUUUACAUGUUAUUGUUUGAAUUUUGUCUCGUUUCAUAACUUUUGCUCAACAUUUAAGGGGAACUGUGUUACCCUGCGAUCAUCUUCAUUACACUUGAAAACUUGUACUAUACCUCCGUCUGUCUACUUAUUAAAUGGAAUAACAUGACAAGA